This 468-nucleotide ribosomal RNA is filed under the name uncultured bacterium. Its description in RNAcentral is "partial 16S ribosomal RNA". It matches the Rfam family "Bacterial small subunit ribosomal RNA", at positions 28 to 507 of the family's 1533-position model. The record is from RNAcentral.
GACGAACGCUGGCGGCGUGCUUAACACAUGCAAGUCGAACGGAAAGGCCCUGCUCUUGUGGGGUGCUUGAGUGGCGAACGGGUGAGUAACACGUGAGUAACCUGCCCUUGACUGUGGGAUAACUUUAGGAAACUGGGGCGAAUACCGGAUAGGAGCUCCUGCUGCAUGGUGGGGGUUGGAAAGUUUCGGCGGUGGGGGAUGGACUCGCGGCUUAUCAGCUUGUUGGUGUGGUAGUGACUUACCAAGUGUUAGACGGGUAGCCGGCCUGAGAGGGUUACCGGCCACAUUGGGACUGAGAGACGGCCCAGACGCCUACGGGAGGCAGCAGUGGGGAAUAUUGCACAAUGGGCGGAAGCCUGAUGCAGCAGCGCCGCGUGCGGGAUGACGGCCUUCGGGUUGUGAACCGCUUUCGCCUGUGACGAAGCGUGAGUGACGGUAAUGGGUAAAGAAGCACCGGCUAACUACGUG